GACAGACGUAAUUUGUCUAUAAUAACAAAAUUUCAAUAUAAAUUCAUUAAUAAAUUAUAUUAACUAAUAUAUAAUAUCGCCACCUCUAGGUUAUUUUUAUAUUUUAGAGUUUUAAGUUCUCCAUUUGUAGUAUUCUUUUUUUUUUCUUCCUUGACAUCCUCCUCUUCCAAUUUUUUCUAUCUUUAACAACUACCAUCACUAGCAAGCGUCACUCACGAGUCUCCACAUUACCACUUAGUCAUCUCUUCCUCCUCAUCUUCCUACUCUUCCCCUUCUUCUAUUUUCUUUUUAUCCAUCUUCCUUUAAU
This 307-nucleotide long non-coding RNA is filed under the name Vigna radiata. Its description in RNAcentral is "long non-coding RNA (VRAD_LNC013299)". The record is from RNAcentral. Lineage: Eukaryota; Viridiplantae; Streptophyta; Magnoliopsida; Fabales; Fabaceae.